Molecule: ribosomal RNA, 497 nt
Filed under: uncultured bacterium
Lineage: Bacteria
Description: partial 16S ribosomal RNA
Rfam family: Bacterial small subunit ribosomal RNA
Source: RNAcentral
GAUGAACGCUGGCGGCGUGCCUAAUACAUGCAAGUCGAGCGAACGGACGAGAAGCUUGCUUCUCUGAUGUUAGCGGCGGACGGGUGAGUAACACGUGGAUAACCUACCUAUAAGACUGGGAUAACUUCGGGAAACCGGAUCUAAUACCGGAUAAUAUUUUGAACCGCAUGGUUCAAAAGUGAAAGACGGUCUUGCUGUCACUUAUAGAUGGAUCCGCGCUGCAUUAGCUAGUUGGUAAGGUAACGGCUUACCAAGGCAACGUUGCAUAGCCGAACUGAGAGGGUGAUCGGCCACACUGGAACUGAGACACGGUCCAGACUCCUACGGGAGGCAGCAGUAGGGAAUAUUGCGCAAUGGGCGAAAGCCUGACGGAGCAACGCCGCGUGAGUGAUGAAGGUCUUCGGAUCGUAAAACUCUGUUAUUAGGGAAGAACAGAUGUGUAAGUAACUGUGCACAUCUUGACGGUACCUAAUCAGAAAGCCACGGCUAACUACGUG